UGAUGUUUUGUCACAAGGCCAGCCUUUCUCCUGCAGCAUUCCACCUAGGCCGGAACCCAGAGAUCACAUCACCAUCCCAUGCUUAAGUUUGAGCAUCAAGCCUGCACUCCCCAAGUGCCUUUGGAUAAGCACAUUGGCAUCCAAUGGCUAGCCCCAGAACUCGUUUGGAAUAGCCAAAGACCAUUGACCACUAAAGCAGACAGAUAUUCUCAUUUCAAAGAGACUGG
Molecule: long non-coding RNA, 227 nt
Filed under: Callithrix jacchus (white-tufted-ear marmoset)
Lineage: Eukaryota; Metazoa; Chordata; Mammalia; Primates; Cebidae
Description: lncRNA (ENSCJAG00000082987.1)
Source: RNAcentral